GUACGUCUCAGGAUACAGGAAAUACGGUAAGAGCGAAACAGGAGGAAGCCAGCUCUGUGCCUGGAGGGGACCCGCCGCCAUCUCAGGUCUCUUGGUUUUGCCAGGGCCCACCGGAGAAAACUGACGACCCGUUUCUGUAAUCCUUAUGGGAGACCAACCUUGUGCCUCCGGGAGAUCCACUCUCCCACCUGGAAACGCACGGGAAGCCAAGCCUCCAAAAAAGCGCUGCCUCCUCGCUCCGCGUUGGGAUUAUCCGGAAGGAACUCCCAACGGAGGUAGUACCACUCUACCCUCCGCACCUCCUCCUGCAUCAGCCGGCCUGAAGUCGCACCCUCCUCCUCCGGAGAAGUAGAGAAAUAAAUUUCUCCCACCUUAAACCAGUCUUUGAGCGAUUGCAGUAUGACUCCAUUUCCCUGGUGCAUUCAUGUAAUAGUUCACCUGGUGAAAACAAUGAAGAUUAUUUACAAUGCUACCCUGCUUUUUCUGGUGUCCUGCACCUGGAAGUUGUGCUUUUUAAGGAGCAGGAGACGUGAAACUGGGAGAAGGCCAAAGGAAGGGCAAAGACUGGCUACCUAAACGUCUUAUGAUGUAAUCAGCGUGAUUUCACUUCCUGAAUUUCGAUGAAUUCUAAGACAUGGGCAAGAUCGGUUUGUAAGACCUCUGAGAUUUAAGGCCAUGGCCUGGAUCAUGGUGAACUUACCAAAGCAAAUAAUGCCUGUGAGAUGGUCCUGCAGCAGCCAACCAGUGCGCUCUUUUGGUGACAUCCAGUUCUUGUUGUAUAACUUUAUAUUCCUAUAAAUCCAUUAAGGCCCCAAUAAAGUUUGUCUCUAA
Molecule: RNA transcript, 831 nt
Organism: Symphalangus syndactylus (siamang)
Lineage: Eukaryota; Metazoa; Chordata; Mammalia; Primates; Hylobatidae
Gene: NBDY
Gene name: negative regulator of P-body association
Source: RefSeq, a predicted model, not a curated record